CCGCUAAUCCAUGAAAGGUAGCUACGACAAAGCUAAGAAAACACAGCGCUGCGAUACAUUGCGUAAUGGCAAUAGACCAGCAGGAGUAAAGAUCGUUUGUCUGCAGUGGUAUAUCAAACACUAGUGAUAUUAGUGUCAAACAUGAGAGUAUUAAGGACUUGCUGGUUGCCUGAGUAUCACUAAAACAAAAUAAAGAAUGGUAGAGAUUUCAUUUUGACCCAUCGGUGGCUGCGGGGUUGCCUUCACUGGUGGAUGAUGGUGUGGUGGUUUGGUCACUCUUAUGUCUUUUUCUUUAGGUCUGCAGUGUGAUUUGCUGUGAGUGGAUUGCAGUGCGAGCACAUUUGUCUAACACAUUGUCUUCACACGAAUAGGUAACCUGUGGCCAUCCGGGGGUCGCUUUGUUUUAUUUUGGUUUAUUUCUUUUUGAUUUCUUUGUGGGUAUCUGCAUUGGAGAUUUGCGUUACAUCCUUAUGUCUCUAUUUGUUUGAAUAAAAGUGUUUUUGAGUUAAAACUUCA
Paramisgurnus dabryanus is the source of this 516-nucleotide non-coding RNA. Lineage: Eukaryota; Metazoa; Chordata; Actinopteri; Cypriniformes; Cobitidae. The record is from RefSeq and is a predicted model, not a curated record.